GACGAACCGAGCGAACGUUGUUCGGAAUCACUGGGCUUAAAGGGCGCGUAGGCGGGCGGGAAAGUCAGGGGUGAAAGCCGGCAGCUCAACUGUCGAAGUGCCUCUGAUACUCUCCGCCUCGAGGGAGGUAGGGGCGUGCGGAACUUCCGGUGGAGCGGUGAAAUGCGUAGAUAUCGGAAGGAACACCAGUGGCGAAGGCGGCUCACUGGACUGGUACUGACGCUGAGGCACGAAAGCGUGGGGAGCGAACAGG
Molecule: ribosomal RNA, 253 nt
Filed under: uncultured bacterium
Lineage: Bacteria
Description: partial 16S ribosomal RNA
Rfam family: Bacterial small subunit ribosomal RNA
Source: RNAcentral